Molecule: long non-coding RNA, 1056 nt
Organism: Syzygium oleosum
Lineage: Eukaryota; Viridiplantae; Streptophyta; Magnoliopsida; Myrtales; Myrtaceae
Exons: 2
Source: RefSeq, a predicted model, not a curated record
UUAUCAUAAAUGUACCAAUUUGGGAUUUUUUGUGAUAUUAACCCAUAAAAUUACUUGUUCUAAGAAAAUAGUGGAGAAUCUAUUUAUACGUUUUCAGUCGAAACGGCGCGCCUCAAAAUAGUAAAGGAAGCCUCAUCUCUUCGAAUUUGCCCCGUGCAAAUUUACAAUGCAGGGGCCGACCGCUUCGAAUUCAAGGGCAUUUGUCAACGGGGAAGGAAAAGGCCCCAAAUCGAAGACUCCGAUCGGUCUAACCGAUCUUGAACUUGGACUUGCUCGAAGCCCCUAAUCUCCUGAUUUAGCUCGCGCUCGCCGAGGAGGAGGCUUUCUCUGCUGCUCCUUUCCAAAGAACGGUGGUAUCUUGAGUCCCAAAACGACCCACAGCAGGCUUUUGUUUCGAUUCCAGAAGCGAUCGAGUCGAGGACAUCCGCCAAGGAAAGAUUGUAAUGGUGGGAGAAGAUGAGGAGAGAGAGUAUUGGGGUUGUUUGUGGGAGCGUGAUGGAGGAAAGUAUUUGGAGCGCUUGCGACUUCCUCCUUUGAUGGUGAGUCAGAACCAUGAAGCUGAUGAAGUACGUGGGGGCUUUAAAGUUAUGGCUUGAUUAUUGCCGACAGAGUCCCUCUAGUAACUCCCAUGACUAAGGAGAACAAGAGAUACUCGCAGACGAAACGCUCCAAGAUGUGGCACAUCUAUGGAGCAGAAGCCAAUGGCCGCUUCUUCAGCAAUCUCAUCAGCAAAAACGGCGAGCCCAGCAGUACUGUUUCUUCUGAUCCAGCUGUGUCCGACUCAUAGGAGCUGCUGCAUAGUUCGACUGCUGAUGUUCUAUUUGGGGGGAUACAAGCAAGUUUACUGACAGAUGGAAUGAUACAAGCAGCAACAUUGGGAUACCUGCUGACCAUGAGUUCUGGAAAUUUUAUGGCAAUUCAGUUUUAUAAUUAUUGUAAGACUCAUUAUUGUUCUAGUGAUGUCAUUCAUCCAUUUUGUAAGGCGAAAAGGUGAAAGACUAGCCCUCUUGUUGAAACUUCCUUUUGUGUUAUUGAUGGCUUGCAAGAUUUAUCCUC